Cynoglossus semilaevis (tongue sole) is the source of this 1675-nucleotide long non-coding RNA. RefSeq lists it as uncharacterized. The transcript has 5 exons. Lineage: Eukaryota; Metazoa; Chordata; Actinopteri; Pleuronectiformes; Cynoglossidae. The record is from RefSeq and is a predicted model, not a curated record.
UGGUGUGUGUGAUUGUAUGUAAUGUGAUGGUGUUUCAUGGAAACAUUAUUGAUGUGGGCUUUAUGUCUGUUUUGGGCCAGCACGGAUGAGCAGCACACCUGAAGGCGUUUACCUCUAAUCAGCAGAGCAGAGGGCUGUGGCCUGUGGGCUGUGAGCUGUGAGCUGUGAGCAGCAGCUCCACAAUGACUCUGUCUGCUGUGCUCAUUUGUUGACGUUUAGAAACUCUCAGUUUGUCUUACAAACCACUAACUUUGUCUUAUGAAUCCGGACUCCAGAACUUUGUCACCGCCUGCACCUUUUUUGGGACCAUCACAGUGUAGCUUCCUGACCUCACCUACCUACCUGGAAAAGAUGUCGGCACUCCCUAUCUACCUCUGCUGUGUUUCUGCUUUUGGUCAGCAUUGCCAGUUGCAUCUUGUUGAGAUGAAGGAGCAAAAGUUCACGGCUACCUGAGAGAUGCUGUUCACAUACAAACCAGGCAGGCGCUGGGAGCAGAGACGACUGGUCAUCCUGGAUCCUGUCCUCGUCAGCUGGCUGCACCGACCGGAGGAAGAGGAUCUAUGUUGCCGCACCACGCACGCACACUCUCUCCGUCCUUGGUAACAACAAUAACAAAGAAGAACAGAGGGAGCAUGAGGCCAAACUAUCCUGCGGGAAUAAAAGACAGCUUUAUUGAUGCUAACAUCUAAACAACCACCGUAUGAGCCAAGGUGAGCGUUGUUUUUCAUUUUGUAAGAUCUUUUUUAUAUUCAAAAAUGUGUUUCUUUUGGAAUUCAGUCAUGUGCUUCCUGAAUGACAGACAAUUAACAGCGUGCCGGUUUGACCUUGGUGAAAGGGAAAAAAAACUCCUGAGUGAGUGUAAUGAAGUUACCUCAGUGAUAACGAAUCAGCAGUAAGUGCUGCUGUGUGAAAUUCCACAGGCAGCAUGGGUGGUCUGCUGGUCCUCAGCAAUCUGUCACGCUGCUAUUUUUACCCGCUGAUAAAAACUAAUAAUUAUUCCUAGGAUUAAAAGAGAACGUUUUACACCAAAUGUGUUGUGUGAGCCGGUGCUGAUGGCCGUGACAGCCAGAAAGUAAAGUUUGUGUUAGAUGGUACUUACUUACCAAUGUAUAAUAAAACUGAAAUGAUGAAACAUCACAUAUAAAGGUCAAACUUAAGCAGUUAUUUGAUACUCGCAGCUUCUUCGUCACCGUUUUCAUUCCUGGAUGCAACAAUCACAAGCCAUUGAAAACAAGUGACCUUCCGUUUUGAUUAAUCUUUUUCCUUCAACUUCCCUGCAUUAAAAUGCUUCCACAAUGGCUGGUUUUAAGUGCGAGUGAAUUUCAAUGGCGUCUACAAAUGAAUGCCAUCACAGGUGCAAGGUUAAGAAUUUCUUAUAAAUAAAUGAAUCUGAAACUGCCUUGUGGAAUAAAACACGAGAUUACCGGGAUGUCUUUGACAAAAGGGAUGGAAGAAGUUGGCUUCUGCCCCUGUAAUGGGACACGCCCCCUACUGUGGGAACCUCUGCUUUAAGCAGACCACCAUGUUGGGUCACAAUACUAAACAAACUCUAUACUCUUAGUGGGUAAAUGGUAACCACAAAUUUGCCUCAAAGGGAAUCUGUUGUUGUGAUUCUAAACCACAAUGUGUACGUAACCUUGCCAGCAGGUGUCACUAAAUCCUGUACAGUGUACAG